This 440-nucleotide ribosomal RNA is filed under the name uncultured bacterium. Its description in RNAcentral is "partial 16S ribosomal RNA". It matches the Rfam family "Bacterial small subunit ribosomal RNA", at positions 338 to 795 of the family's 1533-position model. The record is from RNAcentral.
CCUACGGGUGGCAGCAGUGGGGAAUAUUGCACAAUGGGGGAAACCCUGAUGCAGCGACGCCGCGUGAGUGAAGAAGUCAUUCGUUAUGUAAAGCUCUAUCAGCAGGGAAGAAAAUGACGGUACCUGAGUAAGAAGCCCCGGCUAACUCCGUGCCAGCACCCGCGGUAAUACGCAGGGGGCAAGCGUUAUCCGGAUUUACUGGGCGUAAAGGGAGCGUAGACGGCAGUGCAAGUCUGGAGUGAAAGGCGGGGGCUCAACCCCCGGACUGCUCUGGAAACUGUACGGCUUGAGUGCAGGAGAGGUAGGUGGAAUUCGUGGUGUAGCGGUGAAAUGCGUAGAUAUUAGGAGGAACACCGGUGGCGAAGGCGGCUUACUGGACUGUGACUGACGUUGAGGCUCGAAGGCGUGGGGAGCAAACAGGAUUAGAUACCCUAGUAGUC